Molecule: ribosomal RNA, 387 nt
Filed under: uncultured bacterium
Lineage: Bacteria
Description: bacterial SSU rRNA
Rfam family: Bacterial small subunit ribosomal RNA
Source: RNAcentral
AUUGAACGCUGGCGGCAUGCCUUACACAUGCAAGUCGAACGGUAACGGGCCUUCGGGUGCCGACGAGUGGCGAACGGGUGAGUAAUGUAUCGGAACGUACCUUUCAGUGGGGGAUAACGUAGCGAAAGUUACGCUAAUACCGCAUAUUCUGUGAGCAGGAAAGCAGGGGAUCGCAAGACCUUGCGCUGAUUGAGCGGCCGAUAUCAGAUUAGCUAGUUGGUGAGGUAAAGGCUCACCAAGGCGACGAUCUGUAGCGGGUCUGAGAGGAUGAUCCGCCACACUGGAACUGAGACACGGUCCAGACUCCUACGGGAGGCAACAGUGGGGAACUUUGGACAAUGGGGGCGAACCCUGAUCCAGCCAUGCUGCGUGAGUGAAGAAGGCCUC